Acanthaster planci (crown-of-thorns starfish) is the source of this 376-nucleotide long non-coding RNA. RefSeq lists it as uncharacterized. The record is from RefSeq and is a predicted model, not a curated record. NCBI's taxonomy places the organism in Eukaryota, Metazoa, Echinodermata, Asteroidea, Valvatida, Acanthasteridae.
CUGUUGAGGGGUACCUCUUUCCCAAGAGCUCUACUUCAACCUCUGUCCCAACUGCCGUCAGCUCCAUGGGCAGGACGACACAAAGACAGCAAGGCUGGCACAACGGUUCACGCUAGGUCAAACAGAAAGUGGAAAGUGACCGGCUUUCAGUGGAAUGCGCACAGCACAAAGCACCUAACCAUGAGAAGAGAAGCAGGUUCCUGAACGAAGGUGUGGGACACAAAUGGCUUUCAAGUGUGGCUGUGUCUAUGGCAAAAGGCUUCAGCCACUGGAAAGUGACUCCCAUGGCGUGAAUGAUGUUUCUCCUCUAAGUAAUGGUGCAAGGACUGACCUGCUUGUCCAAUUGCCGAAGCGAUUGGCAUCCAACUCCACCAGA